Long non-coding RNA from Cynara cardunculus var. scolymus (artichoke), 531 nucleotides. RefSeq lists it as uncharacterized. The transcript is spliced from 2 exons. Lineage: Eukaryota; Viridiplantae; Streptophyta; Magnoliopsida; Asterales; Asteraceae. The record is from RefSeq and is a predicted model, not a curated record.
GAGAAAGCAUUUUAGGAGUAUCUGCACACAGAAAAGAAGCCUUGAAACACAAUGUGGAAGGACAAGAGCCCAGGAGUGAAGAUUCUCUGGUUAUGGACCAUCGGCACCGCUGCCGUGCUUGUUGCUAAUGUUGCUACAAGUAGAGUAAGAGACAUGAACAAGCUGCUCGAUGCUCAGGAAGAAUCUUCGCUUCCUUCCGCUGAUUCGCAAUCAACCGACUCCAUUAUAACAGAUCAGGUGAUUGAUUCUAGCCUAGACAAACGAAUUUGAUAACUCGCAAUUUUUAAUUUGAUCUGUUCAAGAGUUUUGCGGUUUUGAAUUUGUUUGAUGUUUAUUUGAAUUUCGUGUUGGAUCAUAUCAUCUUCCUGAAUUCUUUUCGUGUUAGACAGUUCAUGGUGUGCGAUCUUGCUCGAGAGUUAUUUUGUUUAUGAUCCUAUAUGCAUGUAUGCUAGGUGUUUGAUAAAAUGUCUGAGUGACUUUUGACCCUUGGUUACCUGUAUUAUGAUCUAUCUAUUAGUCUCUUGAGUAGAA